This 369-nucleotide ribosomal RNA is filed under the name uncultured bacterium. RNAcentral describes it as "bacterial SSU rRNA". It matches the Rfam family "Bacterial small subunit ribosomal RNA", at positions 527 to 898 of the family's 1533-position model. The record is from RNAcentral.
GUAGGUGGCAAGCGUUGUCCGGAUUUAUUGGGUUUAAAGGGUGCGUAGGCGGUCUAUUAAGUCAGUGGUGAAAUAUCGCAGCUUAACUGUGAGGGUGCCAUUGAUACUGAUGGACUUGAGUGAAGUCGAGGUAGGCGGAAUUGACGGUGUAGCGGUGAAAUGCUUAGAUAUCGUCAAGAACACCGAUAGUGAAGACAGCUUACUAGGCUUAUACUGACGCUGAGGCACGAAAGUGUGGGGAUCAAACAGGAUUAGAUACCCUGGUAGUCCACACUGUAAACGUUGAUUACUCGCUGUUGGCGAUACACAGCCAGCGGCCAAGCGCAAGCGAUAAGUAAUCCACCUGGGGAGUACGCCGGCAACGGUGAA